Molecule: ribosomal RNA, 235 nt
Filed under: uncultured Smithella sp.
Lineage: Bacteria; Pseudomonadati; Thermodesulfobacteriota; Syntrophia; Syntrophales; Smithellaceae
Description: partial 16S ribosomal RNA
Rfam family: Bacterial small subunit ribosomal RNA
Source: RNAcentral
ACUGCCGGUGUUAAACCGGAGGAAGGUGGGGAUGACGUCAAGUCCUCAUGGCCUUAUGCCCAGGGCUACACACGUGCUACAAUGGGUGGUACAAAGAGCAGCGAACUCGCGAGAGCGCGCCAAUCUCAAAAAGCCAUCCUCAGUUCCGGAUUGGAGUCUGCAACUCGACUCCAUGAAGUUGGAAUCGCUAGUAAUCGCGGAUCAGCAUGCCGCGGUGAAUACGUUCCCGGGCCUU